RNAcentral lists this ribosomal RNA (303 nucleotides) under uncultured bacterium. RNAcentral's name for it is "partial 16S ribosomal RNA". It matches the Rfam family "Bacterial small subunit ribosomal RNA", at positions 507 to 809 of the family's 1533-position model. The record is from RNAcentral.
AGCAGUAACCACGGUAAUACGUAGGUGGCGAGCGUUGUCCGGAAUUAUUGGGCGUAAAGGGAGCGCAGGCGGACAUAUAAGUCCAUCUUAAAAGUGCGGGGCUCAACCCCGUGAGGGGAUGGAAACUGUAUGCCUUGAGUGCAGGAGAGGAAAGCGGAAUUCCCAGUGUAGCGGUGAAAUGCGUAGAUAUUGGGAGGAACACCAGUGGCGAAGGCGGCUUUCUGGACUGUAACUGGCGCUGAGGCUCGAAAGCGUGGGGAGCAAACAGGAUUAGAUACCCCUGUAGUCCCUGUCUCUAUACAC